CCGCAGAGUCUCAGACACUGUCCUAGGCACCAGGGAUCCACAGCCCGUCCCCUCCGGGCUGCGUCCCGCCAGGGAAGGCCCUGAUGAUUCCUGUUCACUCAGUGUAGCCCCAGGCUGGACCCCUUCCUAGAGCAAGGACAGGCCCCAGCACAUCACAGCAAGGGCCCUUCAGUGUCCAGGGAGGAGCAGGCGGGCCUGAGGUGCUGCCUUGAUUGGGGGGCAUAGUUUGUGUCUAGCAAAGGCCUGCUGCUUUCUCCCUAAACAAGAUCAUGGGUGAAUCCAGAGACACACCGGGCUCCAGGCUCACAGGGUCACUGCCUGUGCUGACUUCCGCUCUCUCCUUGCCUGGCACGUGGCUGGUGCCAGUGAGCAUCCCGUGUCCCUCCUGCCUGGCUUCUGGCGGCACUGUCAGCGACAGCUGCAUGUCACCCGUGCCAGGUCAGUCCCACGAGGAGGAUGCCGUUCUGCAGGAAGCUCGAUUUUCAAGGUGCAACUGCAAACUAAGAAGCUGGAUUCCAUUCUGCUUGUUGAAGUCUUUAUUAAGAGACAAUGUUUGAAGCCAAACUUGCCCACUGGUCUGUGGUCUGCUUACUCUCAGAUAUUAAUCUCUGCCUACAGUGGAGCAAAGCUCUUUUCCUCAUGAGAGGAGUCCAUUUGUGUGAAUUUAGUCCACUCAGGUGCAGUCAACUUUAUAAGACUAUUAUUGCCUUUUCCUUUGGAGGAAAUAGAAAACAAAAAGAAAAGGCAUUGGUAACUUAUUGUGUGGCCUGUUCACAGGAAGGGAGACAAAUUGUCUUUCCAAUUCUUUAAACAUCUACAAAGCUCUACUGAAAUAGAACUUCAUAUUACAGGUUGCAGUUAUUACCUUAGGAGGUAAUAGGGUUUCUACUUUCUUAUGAUAAAAGCUUCCCGGGUCAAAUCCACCCCCUGCAUAAUAUCUUGGCAUGAUGUGCAGAAUUCUCUGUUAUGUAGUGAGUGAAUGGCAACUUUUCCUUCAUGCAUUCCAAUUUUUAGGCAAAGAUAAUUCCACGAGGGCUAAGAAUGCAAGCUGGUGUUUUCCUUAGACAUAGUGAGCCAGGCAGUAAAACACAUACUAUUUUUAGGUUGCUUGGUUUUAUUAUAUGCCACGCUACUUUAUGCAGAAAACUUUCCUAAAACAUGAACAUGAAUAAAUACUGUAAUUCUUCACUACCAACCUAAUAUUUCUAAAAGAAUGUAUAGUCAAAAAUAAAUAAGAGCAAGCUUUGAGAGAGAGCUCUUUUGUCUCUGUCUUGGUUACUUUCCUUGUCGCUGGAACGCAAGGCUGGACACCCACAAUUUAAAGCAGGAGAGUUUAUUUUGGCUCACGAUUUUCGUCUACAGUCGACAGGCUCCAAAGCAGGAUGACGCGGUGAAAGGGCCCGGUGGAG
RNAcentral lists this long non-coding RNA (1409 nucleotides) under Heterocephalus glaber (naked mole-rat). Its description in RNAcentral is "lncRNA (ENSHGLG00000040446.1)". Lineage: Eukaryota; Metazoa; Chordata; Mammalia; Rodentia; Bathyergidae. The record is from RNAcentral.